UUGGGUUUCCUACACAUCAUCCCC
This 24-nucleotide non-coding RNA is filed under the name Arabidopsis thaliana (thale cress). The record is from RNAcentral. Lineage: Eukaryota; Viridiplantae; Streptophyta; Magnoliopsida; Brassicales; Brassicaceae.